RNAcentral lists this ribosomal RNA (44 nucleotides) under Dioscorea polystachya (Chinese yam). Its description in RNAcentral is "partial 26S ribosomal RNA". The record is from RNAcentral. Lineage: Eukaryota; Viridiplantae; Streptophyta; Magnoliopsida; Dioscoreales; Dioscoreaceae.
GUAGGGAUACCCGCUGAACUUAAGCAUAUCAAUAAGCGGAGGAA